RNAcentral lists this ribosomal RNA (465 nucleotides) under uncultured bacterium. RNAcentral describes it as "partial 16S ribosomal RNA". It matches the Rfam family "Bacterial small subunit ribosomal RNA", at positions 338 to 795 of the family's 1533-position model. The record is from RNAcentral.
CCUACGGGAGGCAGCAGUAGGGAAUCUUCCACAAUGGGCGAAAGCCUGAUGCAGCAACGCCGCGUGGGUGAAGAAGGUCUUCGGAUCGUAAAACUCUGUUGUUAGAGAAGAAAGUGCGUGAGAGUAACUGUUCACGUUUCGACGGUAUCUAACCAGAAAGCCACGGCUAACUACGUGCCCGCCGCCGCGGUAAGACGGAGGUGGCUAGCGUUAUCCGGAUUUAUUGGGCGUAAAGGGAACGGAGGCGGUAGUUUAAGGCUGAUGUGAAAUCCUUCGGCUUAACCGGAGUAGUGCUGUGGAAACUGGAAGACUUGAGUGCAGGAGAGGAGGGUGGAACUCCAGGUGUAGCGGUGAAAUGCGUAGAUAUAUGGAAGAACACCAGUGGCGAAGGCGGCUCUCUGGUCUGAAACUGACGCUGAGGUUCGAAAGCGUGGGUAGCAAACAGGAUUAGAUACCCGAGUAGUC